GCUGAUUGGCGGGAUCCC
This 18-nucleotide small nuclear RNA is filed under the name Arabidopsis thaliana (thale cress). Its description in RNAcentral is "snRNA_06233". Lineage: Eukaryota; Viridiplantae; Streptophyta; Magnoliopsida; Brassicales; Brassicaceae. The record is from RNAcentral.